RNAcentral lists this ribosomal RNA (250 nucleotides) under uncultured bacterium. RNAcentral describes it as "partial 16S ribosomal RNA". It matches the Rfam family "Bacterial small subunit ribosomal RNA", at positions 524 to 773 of the family's 1533-position model. The record is from RNAcentral.
UACAGAGGCCACAAGCGUUAGUCGGAAUCACUGGGCUUAAAGGGUGCGUAGGCGGGCCCGCAAGCGUCCUGUGAAAGCCCUCGGCUCAACCGAGGAACAGCAGGGCGAACUGCGGGUCUUGAGGCAGGUAAGGGCCGGAAGAACAGUAGGUGGAGCGGUGAAAUGCAUAGAGAUCUACUGGAAUGCCGAUGGGGAAGCCGUCCGGCUAGGCCUGUCCUGACGCUGAGGCACGAAAGCGUGGGGAGCAAAC